RNAcentral lists this ribosomal RNA (461 nucleotides) under uncultured Pseudoalteromonas sp. RNAcentral describes it as "bacterial SSU rRNA". It matches the Rfam family "Bacterial small subunit ribosomal RNA", at positions 342 to 795 of the family's 1533-position model. The record is from RNAcentral. Lineage: Bacteria; Pseudomonadati; Pseudomonadota; Gammaproteobacteria; Alteromonadales; Pseudoalteromonadaceae.
CGGGGGGCUGCAGUGGGGAAUAUUGCACAAUGGGCGCAAGCCUGAUGCAGCCAUGCCGCGUGUGUGAAGAAGGCCUUCGGGUUGUAAAGCACUUUCAGUAAGGAGGAAAGGGUAGUCUUUAAUAGAGGCUAUCUGUGACGUUACUUACAGAAGAAGCACCGGCUAACUCCGUGCCAGCAGCCGCGGUAAUACGGAGGGUGCGAGCGUUAAUCGGAAUUACUGGGCGUAAAGCGUACGCAGGCGGUUUGUUAAGCGAGAUGUGAAAGCCCCGGGCUCAACCUGGGAACUGCAUUUCGAACUGGCAAACUAGAGUGUGAUAGAGGGUGGUAGAAUUUCAGGUGUAGCGGUGAAAUGCGUAGAGAUCUGAAGGAAUACCGAUGGCGAAGGCAGCCACCUGGGUCAACACUGACGCUCAUGUACGAAAGCGUGGGGAGCAAACAGGAUUAGAUACCCUGGUAGUC